This 582-nucleotide ribosomal RNA is filed under the name uncultured bacterium. RNAcentral describes it as "partial 16S ribosomal RNA". It matches the Rfam family "Bacterial small subunit ribosomal RNA", at positions 355 to 1375 of the family's 1533-position model. The record is from RNAcentral.
UGGGGAAUUUUGGACAAUGGGCGAAAGCCUGAUCCAGCAAUGCCGCGUGUGUGAAGAAGGCCUUCGGGUUGUAAAGCACUUUUGUCCGGAAAGAAAUCCUUGGCUCUAAUACAGUCGGGGGAUGACGGUACCGGAAGAAUAAGCACCGGCUAACUACGUGCCAGCAGCCGCGGUAAUACGUAGGGUGCAAGCGUUAAUCGGAAUUACUGGGCGUAAAGCGUGCGCAGGCGGUUUGCUAAGACCGAUGUGAGAUCCCCGGGCUCAACCUGGGAACUGCAUUGGUGACUGGCAGGCUAGAGUAUGGCAGAGGGGGGUAGAAUUCCACGUGUAGCAGUGAAAUGCGUAGAGAUGUGGAGGAAUACCGAUGGCGAAGGCAGCCCCCUGGGCCAAUACUGACGCUCAUGCACGAAAGCGUGGGGAGCAAACAGGAUUAGAUACCCUGGUAGUCCACGCCCUAAACGAUGUCAACUAGUUGUGGGAUUCAUUCCUUAGUAACGUAGCUAACGCGUGAAGUUGACCGCCUGGGGAGUACGGUCGCAAGAUUAAAACUUAAAGGAAUUGACGGGGUCAUAGCUGUUUCCU